Molecule: ribosomal RNA, 307 nt
Filed under: Lecanora stanislai
Lineage: Eukaryota; Fungi; Ascomycota; Lecanoromycetes; Lecanorales; Lecanoraceae
Description: SSU rRNA
Rfam family: Bacterial small subunit ribosomal RNA
Source: RNAcentral
UCGCGGUAAUACGUAGAAGACUAGUGUUAUUCAUCUUUAAUAGGUUUAAAGGGUACCUAGACGGUAAAUCAAGCCUUCAAGGGACUAAUUUACUAGAGUUACUUGUGAGGGGGUAUUAAAGUACUGCUGGUGUAGAGAUGAAAUUCUGUCAUACCUAUCUGUAAUAGAAUAAUGGCACAGGUAUAGGCGAAAGCAUCCCCUUAUGUGAUAACUGACGUUGAAGGACGAAGGCUUUGUGUCGCGAACAGGAUUAGAUACCCCAGUAGUCAAAGCAGAAAAAUGAUGAGUGUCAUAGAUUAGACAUAUA